RNAcentral lists this ribosomal RNA (250 nucleotides) under uncultured Anaerolineae bacterium. Its description in RNAcentral is "partial 16S ribosomal RNA". It matches the Rfam family "Bacterial small subunit ribosomal RNA", at positions 524 to 773 of the family's 1533-position model. The record is from RNAcentral. Lineage: Bacteria; Bacillati; Chloroflexota; Anaerolineae.
UACGUAGGAGGCAAGCGUUAUCCGGAUUUACUGGGCGUAAAGCGCGUGUAGGCGGUUGGGUAAGUGGCGUGUGAAAGCUCCCGGCUAAACUGGGAGAGGGCAGGUCAGACUGCCGAACUGGAGGCCGAAAGAGGAGGGUAGAAUUCCGGGUGUAGUGGUGAAAUGCGUAGAUAUCCGGAGGAACACCAGUGGCGAAAGCGGCCCUCUGGGCCGGGACUGACGCUGAGACGCGAAAGCCAGGGGAGCGAAC